RNAcentral lists this long non-coding RNA (1565 nucleotides) under Rattus norvegicus (Norway rat). RNAcentral's name for it is "long non-coding RNA NONRATT023044". Lineage: Eukaryota; Metazoa; Chordata; Mammalia; Rodentia; Muridae. The record is from RNAcentral.
GUGAAUUACAGUUACAGUCUGCUGGCAUUUUAGUGAAUCUGUUUUUAAUCAUGUUACUUACAUUCCUGCAUAUCCUUACUUGAGGGCAUCUGGAUCUCGGUUGGGUUGCCGUUUUUUUUUUUUUUUUUUUUUUUUUUUUUCUUUUUUGUGGUACAGCUUUAGUUUCUCUAUGUUUAUGUGUAUUUUUCAGUGAAGACUUGGUAAUUACAUUGAUAAUAUGGCAGAAAUUGUCAUGACAGGGUUUUAAUAUAUUCUUAAUAAUUAGAAUUACCUGUGUUGAACUGACUUGUAUGAGCACUGUUAAUGGGGACUUGAAGCCAUGGUGGGCUCCUUGUAUUAAUGAGCACUCUGAAAACUGUAAGCGAGGCCCUAGUAUGCUGAGGAGAAGCUCUGAGUGGUGUAUGUCUGCACUGAUAUUCUUAUCAUGACUGGUCGCAUUAGCUUCUUCAUGUGGACAUGUUACAGCACUGGCUUUGAAACUUUUUGUAGUUUUUAGAUGUUUAUUUGAAAACGUAAUAUUUUAAGGUGCAAAAGAUCACUAAUAUGCUUUUCAAAGCGAGGAGAAAAUUAAGCUCCUUGUGGGGACAUAAGGUAAACAGUUGCUUGCAAAACAUACACGUCCUCACGCUUCAGCAUGCUAGGUCAAUUUUAUAAGAACUGUAGGCCAGUUGGUAUUUAGUUACCAGAAAACUUAUAUAAAUUAUUGCUGUAUACCUUAAGGACUGCCCUGUGCUGGUCUGAAUGGGUACCACCCUCUUAGCCCUGGUGUCUGCUCAGGGCUAUCACUAGGUGAAGUCCACAAUCCCUCAGGUUGAGGAAAUUCAGGGUAUAUGAGAGUAUAUGAGUCACCGAGCCCAAAGUUUGCUGCUGGGUCUAAGGGAUGAGCCUCUCUCUUCCUUUAUACACUGGUGGUUUUAUCAUAUUUUUAGUGUGGUUUGUUUGUGGCUAAGGAGUAGAGCUGUGAGGAAAAAUUGAUUUGUAUGCUGACAUACAGUUUGAGGAGAGCCACCGGCCAUUUAUAAAAAGCCAUAUGGUUGUUUGAUUUGUGGGCCAGUGGCAGCUCUCGACUACGGUAACACCAUUUUUCCCCUUCCUUUAGGAUAAAAUCAGAGUCAGCCUUAUGAUUGAACACUGUGACCCCAGUGUGCUGAUGUCCGUGUGCUGGUGUCUCAGUUCAAAUCAAUAAGCAAUAACUCUUAAAGCUGUGAUAUAGAUGCUGUAGAGCUAAAACUUGAAUUAUAACAAAGCUCUUCAUAGUGCAAGUCGUAGAACACUACUUUUUAUACUACUGUAUUUUUUUUAGGGUAACUUAGAAGUGACACCCCACUGGUAAAUGGCUGAAAUAAGUUUCUCUGGACCUCUGUAUAUGAUCUUUUGUAGAACUCUGGGAAGUGAGGGUUCAUUGGGGCCAACUUCAAAUACUUUGAUAAAAAGCAAUAUGUGAAUUAAUGAGCCUUGUCCUUUACAAAUGUGUGCCAUGCUGGGUGACAGGGGUGGGUUGUCUGAAAAUGUUAAUGUCUUUUGUGCAAUGUUGCUGAAGAGCAAUAAAAUGCAGAUGAAUCUUC